This is a non-coding RNA of Phrynosoma platyrhinos (Desert horned lizard), 72 nucleotides long. NCBI's taxonomy places the organism in Eukaryota, Metazoa, Chordata, Lepidosauria, Squamata, Phrynosomatidae. The record is from the annotation of a GenBank genome assembly.
GCCAGCAUGGCGCAGUGGUUUGUGUGUUGGUCUACAACUCUGGAGACCAGGGUUCAAAUCUCCGCUCAGCCA